UUCUCAGGCUACUAUUUAGGUUGGUGCAAAAGUAACUGCGGUUUUUGCCAUUGGCAAAUAGCGCAUGGCGAAAACCGCAAUUACUUUUGCACAAACCUAAUAC
This 103-nucleotide microRNA precursor is filed under the name Chlorocebus sabaeus (green monkey). RNAcentral describes it as "miRNA (ENSCSAG00000021467.1)". The record is from RNAcentral. Lineage: Eukaryota; Metazoa; Chordata; Mammalia; Primates; Cercopithecidae.